Molecule: ribosomal RNA, 440 nt
Filed under: uncultured bacterium
Lineage: Bacteria
Description: partial 16S ribosomal RNA
Rfam family: Bacterial small subunit ribosomal RNA
Source: RNAcentral
CCUACGGGUGGCAGCAGUGAGGAAUAUUGCACAAUGGGGGAAACCCUGAUGCAGCGACGCCGCGUGAGUGAAGAAGUCCUUCGUUAUGUAAAGCUCUAUCAGCAGGGAAGAAAAGUACGGUACCUGAGUAAUAAUCCCCGGCUAACUACGUGCCAGCAGCCGCGGUAAUACGUAGGGGGCAAGCGUUAUCCGGAUUUACUGGGUGUAAAGGGAGCGUAGACGGCAGAUCAAGUCUGGAGUGAAAGUCUGGGGCUCAACCCCCGGACUGCUAUGGAAACUGUAAGGCUGGAGUGCAGGAGAGGUAAGUGGAAUUUCUAGUGUAGCGGUGAAAUGCGUAGAUAUUAGGAGGAACACCAGUGGCGAAGGCGGCUUACUGGACUGUAACUGACGUUGAUGCUCGAAAGCGUGGGGAGCAAACAGGAUUAGAUACCCCGGUAGUC